UUAGGUUAUAAGUGUAGGUUAUAGGUUUAGGUUUAGGUUAGGUUAUAUGUUAAGGUUUAUGGAAUUGAGAAUAGGUUAAGGUUUAGGUUUAGGAAAUCGGGUUCGGGUUUAGGUUUGGGUUUUCAAGUUUAGGUUUAGGUUUAGGUAAGGGAGUUGAGAUUAGGAUUAGGUGUAGGUUUAGGUUUAGGGAUUUGAGAAUACAUUUAGGUUUUAGGUCAUAAGAUUAGGUUUUAGGCUUAGGUUUAGGUUUAGGUUAUAAGUGUAGGUUAUAGGUUUAGGUUUAAGUUAGGUUAUAGGUUAAGGUUUAGGGAAUCGAGAGUAGGUUAAGGUUUAGGUUUAGGAAACCGGGUUCAGGUUCGGGAUCGGGUUUAGGUUUGGGUUUUCAAGUUAGGUUUAGGUUUAGGUUAGGGAGUUUAGAUUAGGAUUAGGUGUAGGUUUAGGUUUAGGGAUUUGAGAAUAGGUUAAGGUUUAGGUUUAGGAAAUCGGGUUCGGGUUCGGGAUUGGGUUUUAGGUUUGGGUUUUCAAGUUUAGGUUUAGGUUUAGGUUAGGGAGUUGAGAUUAGGAUUAGGUGUAGUUUUAGGUUUAGAGAUUUGAGAAUAC
Long non-coding RNA from Magnolia sinica, 600 nucleotides. RefSeq lists it as uncharacterized. The transcript is spliced from 3 exons. The record is from RefSeq and is a predicted model, not a curated record. NCBI's taxonomy places the organism in Eukaryota, Viridiplantae, Streptophyta, Magnoliopsida, Magnoliales, Magnoliaceae.